GACGAACGCUGGCGGCGUGCCUAACACAUGCAAGUCGAACGAGGUCCAAGGGAGCUUGCUCCCUGAAGACCUAGUGGCGAACGGGUGAGUAACACGUGAGAAACCUGCCCUCGAGUGGGGAAUAACCCGGGGAAACCCGGGCUAAUACCGCAUACGCUCCUCUGGUCGCAUGGCCGGAGGAGGAAAGUUUUUCGCUCAAGGAGGGUCUCGCGGCCUAUCAGCUUGUUGGCGGGGUAACGGCCCACCAAGGCUACGACGGGUAGCUGGUUUGAGAGAACGAUCAGCCACACUGGGACUGCGACCCGGCCCAGACUCCUACGGGAGGCAGCAGUGGGGAAUCUUGCGCAAUGGGCGAAAGCCUGACGCAGCAACGCCGCGUGCGGGAUGACGGCCUUCGUGGUUGUAAACCGCUUUCAGCAGGGACGAAAAUGACGGUACCUGCAGAAGAAGCUCCGGCUAACUACGUGCCAGCCGCCGCGGUAA
This 483-nucleotide ribosomal RNA is filed under the name uncultured bacterium. RNAcentral describes it as "partial 16S ribosomal RNA". It matches the Rfam family "Bacterial small subunit ribosomal RNA", at positions 28 to 523 of the family's 1533-position model. The record is from RNAcentral.